Molecule: ribosomal RNA, 253 nt
Filed under: uncultured bacterium
Lineage: Bacteria
Description: partial 16S ribosomal RNA
Rfam family: Bacterial small subunit ribosomal RNA
Source: RNAcentral
UACGUAGGGGGCAAGCGUUGUCCGGAAUCAUUGGGCGUAAAGCGCGUGUAGGCGGCUAGGUAAGUCUGCUCUGAAAGCCCGGGGCUCAACCCCGGGAGGCGGGUGGAUACUGUCUAGCUCGAGUCCGGAAGAGGAGUGUGGAAUUCCUGGUGUAGCGGUGAAAUGCGCAGAUAUCAGGAGGAACACCAAUGGCGAAGGCAGCACUCUGGGACGUGACUGACGCUGUGACGCGAAAGCGUGGGGAGCGAACAGG